AAUGUAAACGCUAUUAAAGGACUUGGGAGGCGAUUCUUUCUCUGUUUUCUGAGGAAAAUGCAGCUGAAACUUAAAAAGAUUUGACUGGAAGCAGCGGUCCAGAUGUAGAGUUUUGGAAGUGUGGCAGAACAAAAUUGAGAACGUCUUUGAGAUCCAGCUUCCGCAAACCACUUUUCGCACUUUUUAAAAGCGAAAGUAAGGGAA
Long non-coding RNA from Drosophila takahashii, 204 nucleotides. RefSeq lists it as uncharacterized. The record is from RefSeq and is a predicted model, not a curated record. NCBI's taxonomy places the organism in Eukaryota, Metazoa, Arthropoda, Insecta, Diptera, Drosophilidae.